UUCUUAUAGUUUAUUCUUAUAAGUAUCACCUGCUCAAUGAAUUAUUUAAAUAGCCGCGGAAAUUUAACCGUGCUAAGGUAGCAUAAUCAUUAGCCUCUUAAUUAGAGGCUUGUAUGAAGGGUGAAACAUUUCAAUUCCUUUAUUUUUAAUUUUUUUUUAAAUUAAAUUAAGAAUAAAAAUGUUCUUAUUAAUUAAAUAGACGAUAAGACCCUUUUGAACUUUACUGAAGUUUAGCUGGGGCAGCUAAGUAAUAAUUAUCUUUCUAAUUUUAUUUCAAUAAAUGACCCAAUAUAUUUGAUUAUAUGAACAAGUUACCAUAGGGAUAACAGCGUAAUAUCUUUUUAAAGCUCUUAUUAAAAAAGAAGUUUGCGACCUCGAUGUUGAAUAAUGUAACUUAUUUAGUGUAGUAAUUAAAAAAGUAAGUCUGUUCGACUUUUAAAACAUUACA
Molecule: ribosomal RNA, 448 nt
Filed under: Eriophora sp. GH7-GH21
Lineage: Eukaryota; Metazoa; Arthropoda; Arachnida; Araneae; Araneidae
Description: partial 16S ribosomal RNA
Rfam family: Bacterial large subunit ribosomal RNA
Source: RNAcentral